GUGGGGAAUAUUGGACAAUGGGGGCAACCCUGAUCCAGCAAUGCCGCGUGAGUGAUGAAGGCCUUCGGGUUGUAAAGCUCUUUCGCCCACGACGAUGAUGACGGUAGUGGGAGAAGAAGCCCCGGCUAACUUCGUGCCAGCAGCCGCGGUAAUACGAAGGGGGCUAGCGUUGUUCGGAAUGACUGGGCGUAAAGGGCGCGUAGGCGGCGCAUCAAGUCGGGCGUGAAAGCCCCGGGCUCAACCCGGGAACUGCGUCCGGGACUGGUGCGCUGGAGUUCGGGAGAGGAGAGUGGAAUUCCCAGUGUAGAGGUGAAAUUCGUAGAUAUUGGGAAGAACACCGAUGGCGAAGGCAGCUCUCUGGACCGACACUGACGCUGAGGCGCGAAAGCGUGGGGAGCAAACAGGAUUAGAAACCCGGGUAGUCC
RNAcentral lists this ribosomal RNA (425 nucleotides) under uncultured Allostella sp. Its description in RNAcentral is "bacterial SSU rRNA". It matches the Rfam family "Bacterial small subunit ribosomal RNA", at positions 354 to 796 of the family's 1533-position model. Lineage: Bacteria; Pseudomonadati; Pseudomonadota; Alphaproteobacteria; Rhodospirillales; Allostellaceae. The record is from RNAcentral.